UAGAAUGAACUAAUAUCAUUAUUAUCCCUUGGCGCCAUCAAGCUGACUGGGAGAUGACACCUAGACCUCGUCGAACUCGUCAUAGUAAUCCUCCUCCGAUGGCACCUGCUCUUCACCUAGGGGGUUAUUGCAAGAGUGAGCUCAGAGAUGUUCAUUGCUCAGCAAGUGUGGGGAAUAAUGUGCAUGAGCUCACUUAUGGUGGGGGCUCAUGUGUAGUGUAAGGCUGAUCAACAAAUAAUGGUUAAGACAAUGCAUUGCUUUUAAUAAGUUGGUCUAAUGUUAUUAGUAGUUACUAUGUAUAAGUAAAUAACAUCCCAAUAAAAUAAGAGAUCACAAUUAUAAUAAUUCCCACAAUGCGACGCAUAUGACAGAUUAAGUUCAAUUCCAUAAGUUAAUCAUGUGAGAGUCCUGAGUCGCUCUUGACCGCGAGCACGACUGAUAUACUAGUUUUACACUCUGCAGAGGUUGUGCAUAUUUACCCACAAGAUGUGUUCCCUUUGUCGCCUCAGGUUGAUCAGACCCUUAAACAUUGCCAAGGUGAGUAGGCGAGGGUACACUGUGAGGCCUUUACAAAGUUCCACUAGAGGAGAGAACCCACUACAGUUUCUAGGCCGAAAUCGGUAUAAGAAUCCUUCAUCCGAAAAGCUAAAAAAAUAGUCUGACACAAGGACCUCCCUACACCUGCACUCCUCCACCCCGCUUACCCCUUUCGGGAAAGGGUUAACUCACACUAACUUUUCUAAUUAGUCAGCCCUUUUAUUUGUUAUGAUCCCAAACGAUAGAUUCGUUGAGUUCUUGCCAAUAACCAUGGCCGCUGGAUAAAAACAUUAAACUGAAAGCCCAGACAAAAUGAGCGCCUAAGAAAAAAAGACCAUAUGCAGAUAAUGAAGAACCAUAAAACUGGAUUACUUGGGAUGCCUGUGUCCACAAGAAAUCUCGAAGCCAACCAUUAAUCGUAAUGGAACUCUACGUGGCAAGAACUCAUUGAAUCUAUCGUUUGGGCUCAUAACAAAUUAAAAGGGUGUUCCAUUCCACCCUUGUGGUAGCACGGUUAUCUCAAGUUAAGCUCCUUGUUCCAUUUAACAUCAUAAUCUUAUCAUGAAUAUUAAAUAAUCCAAUAACAAUAAAAAAACAUGAUCAUGAAUCAUAUGUUUCUUAACACCCAAAACCACAUAGAGCAAUAGCAGAUACUACUCAAAAGUUUAGUGGUAAGUAAGGUGUAAAGUAAACCAAACUAGGGUAACCUAUUGGGUCCCAUCAUUUUAACCUGAGCAUAUAAUAGUGAUUCACAGGACCAUUAUUGGGUAAAGAAGAGUGAUCAAGGGCACAACUUGCCUUCAGCGAGCUCCUGCUUAGAAUUUUCCACCUGCUGAGCUCCAGGUUCCUCGGUCACUUGCUUGUCUACUCGCAACAAUACAAACAAACAUGAUAUACUAAAAUUGGAGUUAGAACAAAGAAGAUAUGGAAUUUCUAAAUUUUCUUUAAUUAUUUUAUACUAUAAAUCAAUUUCCAGGCUUUUUAUCUAUUUUCAUUAUUUAUUAUGUAUUAAAAUUGACUGCGGGUCAUAUAACCCAAGAGUUCGGGGUUGAUUUCAUUAAUUUCAGGGCCUUCUUGUAAUUAUUUUCACCUAAGGCCUGGUUUGGAUACUCUAGUAAUAAGUGAGAUUGGAGUGGAUUAAGAUGUAUUGAGAGAGUAUUUGAUCUAUUAGGGAUUUGCACCCUCUCCAAUCCCUUCGAAACACUCCAAUCCCAAAAUAUCCAAACUAGACCUAAGGGAGGACGAUGGGUUUAUAUUUAGAAAGAACAGGAGCUCUUACGCUAAUAUACCGCAGCAAAGGGGUAUCGACCCAUGAGCACCAUUGCAUGCAAGUUCUACAACGCAGAUUACACAGCGACUUCAAUGAACCAGUAUUCGACUUCAACCGUAGGAUCCAAGAUCCACGGUUCCCGGCCCACAACACCACUCCCCCUCAAUCAGCCGCCCGAUGAUGGAGCUAUGGUUUGGAUUUAAAUCCUUGGAAGGGUAUACUCUGAUAUAAUCUCCACCGUCCAGAUUGCACCCAAUGGCUGGCACUCUUCUCCCUCCACCCGAGCACCCGCGUGGCGGCUCCCACGCGAUUCAUGGUGGCGCACUCCGGUGAGCCCUCUGCGUCAAGAGUUCUAGUGUCCCAUCUCACAGAUGGCUCGGUACUAUUCGACAUACGGAGUAUAGCGAAUAAAUGGAGGUGAAGUUUACCGGUAAUAAUGGGUUGGUGAAGGCGGUUCACGGAGCAAGGCGAGAUCGCGGCGUGAUAGGAUUCCGGCGAGGAAUUCUGCUCGUCCCGGGCUCCAAUUCACAUCGGGGCGGUGACGAUUUCACACCAGGGAACACUUCGAAGGUCUCUGGGCUAGCCUCGCGCUUCAAUCUGCUACACAGGCGAAGAGCAGAUGUGGCGACUCUCCUUCUCUCUCUUCGCAGUGCUGGCACGGUAGUUUGGAUAGGCGCGGUCAAGGGUGUCCAGCCCUACUGUAACCCUCUGAAUUUGGGGUAUAAAAUUUCUUCUUUAAAUACCUAGAAAAUUUAAGUGUUACUUCUUUUCUCACUUCUAUAGUGUUUCUUUUCUACUUUUUUAAUAGAAUUUUGGGUUAAUUAUGUGGGAGAUGUAUUAUUUUCUUGAGAAUAUCAAAACUUAGGGUAUAUGUAAAUGUUUGCAUCAUGCUGAGACUAGAUUAU
This 2712-nucleotide long non-coding RNA is filed under the name Zea mays. RNAcentral describes it as "long non-coding RNA (ZMAY_LNC005383)". The record is from RNAcentral. Lineage: Eukaryota; Viridiplantae; Streptophyta; Magnoliopsida; Poales; Poaceae.